AUGCAUCGCUGACAGACCUGGAGAAGCUAAUGUCUGCUGCUAAAGUUUGCACUACAGAUGCACGAAGAAGGUCCUGGCACUUUCUGUCUGGUUGUGCCAGCCAAGAUUGAAUGGGGGAAUACAGGG
Molecule: small nucleolar RNA, 126 nt
Filed under: Dasypus novemcinctus (nine-banded armadillo)
Lineage: Eukaryota; Metazoa; Chordata; Mammalia; Cingulata; Dasypodidae
Description: Small nucleolar RNA SNORA31 (ENSDNOG00000041672.1)
Rfam family: Small nucleolar RNA SNORA31
About the family: ACA31 (SNORA31) belongs to the H/ACA class of snoRNAs which are thought to guide the sites of modification of uridines to pseudouridines. ACA31 is predicted to guide the pseudouridylation of U3713 in 28S rRNA and U218 in 18S rRNA.
Source: RNAcentral